Long non-coding RNA from Ipomoea nil (Japanese morning glory), 153 nucleotides. RefSeq lists it as uncharacterized. NCBI's taxonomy places the organism in Eukaryota, Viridiplantae, Streptophyta, Magnoliopsida, Solanales, Convolvulaceae. The record is from RefSeq and is a predicted model, not a curated record. The transcript is spliced from 2 exons.
CCCAAGGUCUUUUUCAUCCCUUCCUCCCCUACUGUUGUAGUCUAUAAAUAUGGAUUUUUAGGUUUUUAGUUUCUAGAGUCUACAUCCAGUUAAUACUAAGUCAGUGAGUUUUGGUUCAAUAAAUUAAACAUUUGUGUGAUUAUUAUUAUUGAA